GGAGGUUACUGCUAUCGGAGUUCGAUUAAGCCAUGCGAGUCUAAAGGUUUCUUCGGAAACCUUGGCGGACUGCUCAGUAACACGUGGAUAACCUACCCUUGGGACUGGAAUAACCCCGGGAAACUGGGGAUAAUACCGGAUAGAUCAGGGAUGCUGGAAUGCACCUUGAUCCAAAGCUCCGGCGCCCAAGGAUGGGUCUGCGGCCUAUCAGGUAGUAGUGGGUGUAACGUACCUACUAGCCAACGACGGGUACGGGUUGUGAGAGCAAGAGCCCGGAGAUGGAUUCUGAGACACGAAUCCAGGCCCUACGGGGUGCAGCAGGCGCGAAACCUUUACAAUGUGCGAAAGCAUGAUAAGGGAACUCCGAGUGCCAGCAUCUAAUGUUGGCUGUCCUUGUGCCUAAAACGCACAAGAUAGCAAGGGCCGGGUAAGACCGGUGCCAGCCGCCGCGGUAACACCGGCGGCCCGAGUGGUAGCCGCUAUUAUUGGGUCUAAAGGGUCCGUAGCCGGUUCGAUAAGUCCUCUGGGAAAUCUGGUUGCUUAACAAUCAGACUGCCAAGGGAUACUGUCGAACUUGAGACCGGGAGAGGUAAGAGGUACUUCAGGGGUAGGAGUGAAAUCUUGUAAUCCCUGGGGGACCAUCUGUGGCGAAGGCGUCUUACCAGAACGGGUCUGACGGUGAGGGACGAAAGCUGGGGGCGCAAACCGGAUUAGAUACCCGGGUAGUCCCAGCCGUAAACGAUGCUCGCUAUGUGUCAGGUACGGUGUGACCGUAUCUGGUGCCGUAGGGAAGCCGUGAAGCGAGCCACCUGGGAAGUACGGCCGCAAGACUGAAACUUAAAGGAAUUGGCGGG
RNAcentral lists this ribosomal RNA (854 nucleotides) under uncultured archaeon. RNAcentral describes it as "bacterial SSU rRNA". It matches the Rfam family "Archaeal small subunit ribosomal RNA", at positions 19 to 872 of the family's 1478-position model. The record is from RNAcentral.